RNAcentral lists this ribosomal RNA (365 nucleotides) under Cantellius septimus. RNAcentral's name for it is "partial 12S ribosomal RNA". It matches the Rfam family "Microsporidia small subunit ribosomal RNA", at positions 751 to 1200 of the family's 1311-position model. The record is from RNAcentral. Lineage: Eukaryota; Metazoa; Arthropoda; Thecostraca; Balanomorpha; Pyrgomatidae.
AGAUACCCUGUUACUUAUAUUUAAAAUAUUUUGGAAUAGUAAUACUAAUGAAAUUUAACGGAUUUGGCGGCAAGAUAGCCAUUUAGAGGAACCUGCCCUAUAAACGAUGAUCCACGAUUAAACUCUACUUUUAUUUGYAUUUCAGUUUGUAUACCGCUGUUGUCAGUCAGUUUCUUUAGAAAACUUUCAUUCAUGACAAGAUCAUUGACUUCAAGUAAAGGUGCAGCUUAUGUAAAAGACAGAGGUGGGUUACAUUUAAYAGAUUAAAACGGAUAAAGUUAAUGAAAAUAGCUUUUGAAGGUGGAUUUAAUUGUAAAGUUUAUAUAAACUUGAUGUGAGCUCUAUCUUGUGUACACACCGCCCGU